Molecule: long non-coding RNA, 802 nt
Filed under: Anas platyrhynchos platyrhynchos (common mallard)
Lineage: Eukaryota; Metazoa; Chordata; Aves; Anseriformes; Anatidae
Description: lncRNA (ENSAPLG00000027270.1)
Source: RNAcentral
AUGAACCUCUUUCUUUUGGCAGUGAAUUUUUUUUAUUAUUUUUUUUAUUUUUUUUUCUUUCUUCCUAAUGGAAAAUUGCCUCCUUACAUAUUGAAAAGAUCUCCAUGGACUUUAAUAUUAAAGUGAAUCAUCUCCAGAAGGAACAUCAAACAAAGCUUGGGUGAGUUUCUUUAUAUUUUCUUCUUGUUCUUCAAUCUUAAAUCUAGGGACUUAGAAAUUAGUAAUCAGAUGUAUACAGUCCCCAGCAGAAUGGGAGCUCAAACUGGAAGAGAAGCUAGCUCUUAAUGCAAUCCGUAAGUUACAGCAAUACCCAAGAGGUGGUCAUGAUGUUGACUAUGCACUGUUAACACCAGCGCAAGAGGAGUUAAGUCAAGUGUUCGCCCAUGGUGGUCCUGGGACCACAGAUAAGCCUGAGUUUGUGGUUAUUCUGCAGAUGGCUUAAAACUGUAAAAAGUUUGGCCAAAAAGUAGGGGUUCUGUUUGCAUUGGUUACAGUAGUAAUGAGAAGAGCAAGAAACAUAUUAUUAUUUUGAUUACACAGUAGUAACUGAGGAAUUACACAAUGUGGUAAUUCAGGAAUGCUUAAAGAGAAAAGGGAACCAUAAUUAACUAGUCUAUCUUGCAACACAGUCCCUUAUUUGAGGAAAUGACAUAAUAAUAUGGGAAUAAUCUCUCCUUACAAACCUAAGUACCAUAGAAACAGUUCUCAGCUCAGACAAUUUUGUUCACCUUAGGAAAAUACUGGCACAAUGCUUUUUGAAGGAAAAAAUAAAUAAUAAAUGGAGAUGGGCUAAACUAUGAUG